UAGACUCCCGCGCGUGCUGGUUCACCGACGUUCGUCGGUGACGAAGAGGGAACCCGGUGUGAAUCCGGGGCUGCCCCGCAGCGGUAAGCGAGAACGACCCCGCAAGCAAACACUGGCCGAGGAGGCCGGGAAGUCGCGGGGAAGGCGAUCGGCGACAGCCGAUAUGCUCGCGAGCCCGAAGACCUGCCGGCACCCGGCGACGGAG
RNAcentral lists this non-coding RNA (205 nucleotides) under Candidatus Nitrospira inopinata. The record is from RNAcentral. RNAcentral also lists the same sequence under 1 other name. Lineage: Bacteria; Pseudomonadati; Nitrospirota; Nitrospiria; Nitrospirales; Nitrospiraceae.